Motacilla alba alba is the source of this 5546-nucleotide long non-coding RNA. RefSeq lists it as uncharacterized. The record is from RefSeq and is a predicted model, not a curated record. The transcript has 3 exons. NCBI's taxonomy places the organism in Eukaryota, Metazoa, Chordata, Aves, Passeriformes, Motacillidae.
CCCCCGCCGGGCUCCGUCCCGGGCCGGGCUCCCGCUCCGCUCCGCCUCCCUGCCCGGCUCUGUGCCCCGGGAAAGGGGAGCUCACCGCUCGCAGGUGCCUCCGCAGCGCUGCCCGAGGCAGUCGAGACCUGCUGGGGAAGAGAAGCAGCGCUGCCCCAGCCCAGGACACCACUGUGGAAACUGCGAUGGGAACAGACAAUCAAGCAGAAGAUGAAAAGUUUCAUAGCAAGGAGACGAGCAGCCCGUUCCGCACACCCGGCACUGGGCUGUGAAAUGAGCGGUUCUUGCUCCAGAAGGAACAGAUGCCUUGGUUGAAAAGAGGGUGACAACAAAGGUCCAGGAAAAAGCAAGACAGAGAAGAUGAAUAUCAUCUCACAAUGUAACAACUAAUGUCAUUUGAUGAAAAAUUCAGAUUUAAAAUAAAUUUAAAUACCUUUUCCUCACAUUGAGCAUGGUUAAUUAAACAUGGUACCCGUGGCCAUUACCACAGAAUAUUGUUUGGAAAGGAAACAGGCAAAUCCACACAGAGCUGCUCCUCUUCUGCAGCAAUUGAACACGGUGGUCCAAAUAAAACAUCUCCACUCCUCAAAUCAGUGAUUCUUGAAAACCAGGGAAGAGGUUCUCUUCCAGAAGAGAAAUUAUGCAAUAUGGUGAGAAACAGAAAAUAUCCCGUUUGGUGCAGAAACCAUCUCAAAGUGCAGCUGUUAAAUAGGGUAAGAAUGCAGGGAUUAAAAACAACAGUAAAGACAAAUAAUCUUCCCUUGUGCAACAGACUGGUGUAAGGAGAGAGAUUAAGGAAAUAUUUCUCUAGAUUUUCAAACUAUAUUUCCAAUUUCAAAUGAUUGCAUUCAUCAGCACCGCUGCAGGAAUAUCCCUCAGUAAGCACAAUUACUGCAGCACAGAGAUAGCAAUAAUCCUAUCAACAAGACAACGAGUUAAUUGGCAGGAGCUAAUAGACUAUGAUAGGAAAAUGUGCAAUCAAUUACAGACUAUUUGACUUGCACCCCGUGUGAUAAGACUGUUGAACACAACAAUAACCCGAAAAUGAAAACAAAUGUUCACUGUAAACAUAAGCAGCGAGGGGAGAUGUUAAAUCUACAAGUGCAAAAGCAAGCUGGAAAAUCCCGAGCAAAGCAUAUUUAAAGUAAAGCAUCACUUUACACAUAUUCUGGAGUGAACUAAGAAAAACUCCAUAUGGUUCUGGGAGAUGUUACUUGAAAGACUGAUUUUUUUUUUUUUAAUUUUUCUUACAGAAAAUAGAGAAAAAACCAACAAUGCCAUAAAGGAUCAGUUAAGACUACAGAAAAUAAAAUAUACUUUCAAUACAUAUUUUUGAAAUGGUAGAAGGCAAAGAAAUUGAGAGGGACUUGAACUGACCCAUUAAAUGCAAUGAAAAAUUUAAAGGGAAAAAUGCUAAGGACGAAAACUCAGUCUCUAAGAUUUUGAGUGUAAUUGUAACCGAGGCAAGGGGAAGAAUAGGGACAGUCAGAAACAAAGCUUUACCAAACAGGUCUGCAAGAAACAAAUAAGAGAAAUGGGAAAAAUCUUUAAAAAAAAACUUUUUUUAAAGAUCUUUAAAAAAAAUAUAUUAAAAAGGAACAAACCUAGGUAAUAUACAUGCUGUAGUAACAGGAAAACAACUUCAUCCAGAGAUCUACCAAGAUAACAACAUUUUAAAUUAUUUGGAUAGAUACACACACACAUAUGAAGAAGGAGAACGCCAGGUAAGAGCUGUUGAAGCAGUGUGUGCCACCUGGAAUCAUGCAAGCUGAACCCCCCCGGGCAGCUGCAGAGCACCUUCCAGUGCCACAAGUGUUGGCAAGUGGCAGCACUGAUGCUGGCACCUGUCCCACAGCAUCCCUCUCAUGCCAACCCCCCGGAUGGCACCAGGUGGUACUCCGUGGGUGGCAUCCCCUGGAAAGGGUGUGAAGUGAGAGGCUGCCUGCUCAGUAAACUCCUCUGAGCACAGGGCUGGUGAUGGCAGCAGCCAAACUCCCCCCAGCCCCAUCCCAGGCUGGCUGUCACCCACCGCUUAUGGGGACAGUCCCUGCUGGAGCAAAGGCUCCGGAGCAGGUCCUGCAGCAGCCUCCAGAUGCAGGCAAGCUGCCAAGCACUGAGCAGCUGUGCCAGCUGUGCAGCUGGGGCACAGCUGGCUUAAACACAUCUCCCCAACACCCAUUUUGGAGAAGAGCGAGAGCUCUGGACCAGGGGGGUCACUGUCAGAGUGCCUUACACCUCAGGCAGGAAAAGAGCUGGAAAAUCCUAAAGGCUAUGGAUCCAUGCUGCGUUUCGCUCCUAUCUUUGUCUUUACCUUAGAACAUUUGCCAAGAUUUCUGCCUGCAGCUUGAUCCCAGUCUUCCAGCAGCAGCUGUGGCUGUGCUAGCAGGGAAGUGCUUACAGCCCAAAGAAAGCAAAAGUGGAACAAAAGCCUCUAGAGAUAAAAUGGUCCUUUGACUUUGUCUGGGACAGAUGUGCAUGAGAACUGGCCUCAGCCCACCCCAGGACUGCUGACACUUCAUGCUCUGGUAACAACUACAGAACCUACUCCCAGCUCUGGUCUUGCUUCACAUUUGUGUCCAGCUGGGCAGGGAUUGUGUUGGAAGUGUUGGAUUUCUCUCCUCCAAAGCACCAAACCACCCCCAGCCACCUGGAAAGGUAGUUCAAACCUAAAAAGAGAAGGGUUUCAAAAAGCACCUACUGAGAGGAAUGAGGAGGAGAAAAGAGGAGAGGGAAAUGUUUACAGGGAGACAAGCACAACCUCUUACUGCUGUGCAAGCAGCAGCUACUUUAAAAUGAAUUAUGGCCCAAACCACCAAAGUCUUUUCAGGAGAGUGGCCUGGGCACAACUGCUGCUGCUUCACAUUCCCAACACGGAAAACCAUCAGCCACAUCUGGCCUUUGCUGAGCACUGAGAGCAUCCGUGGCCCCCUCUGCUCCUCUGUCACUCAGGACAAACUGCCUGUCGUCUGUCCUCAGGACAAACUGCCUCCACGUGUGUUGAGGCAGUGCAAUCUUGUGAGCCACUUCCAGGAACACCAUUGGCCAUUUUAUCAUCUGGGAACCAAAGGCCAGAGCAAACACAAUGCAUUUCCUCCAUCUGAUAACCACCCUGCUACUGGCCUGUUCAGCCUGAAAAAUGUUGUUUAGCUUAAAGCAACCAUAGCUGUAGUGAGCAAAAUGGUCACAAAUAUGCACAGAAGGAGGAUAAUUAGAGGCUGACACUGGCUGGCACGUUACAGGAACUGCUCAGCAGAGAAAGAACCCAAUGUAAGCACAAAGGAUUGACUCCUGCUGGAGCCACCAAACUCUGUCCCAGAUAGGCACACACAUUUUGAAACUACAGUCGCAGAAGCAAAAAUCCAGGCCUGCAGUUCCUGCAUGACAGAAGAUCCUGCAGCAGGCUUUCAAACCAGAGACAGCCUCCCUAGUGAAUAACUGCUUCCAAAAAUGGCUUGAAGAACCAGAAUCCUGGGCUGGGAGAACCCUGUCCUCACAGGACAGCUGCAGAGCAGCAGAGGCCUCACUUCUGUGCCCAGGUUUGUGUGGGAGAUCGUCUGUGUGGACACUGUGCUCUGGAGAUACACAGGUGACAUUUCUGCAUGAGCCAGAGCUCAGGGACUGCUCAGAGCGUGGGCGGGCCUGCUCAGAGUGCUGGAAAACCUGCUCCUGGGGAUGUCACUGCCACAGCCCCUGCUCCUCUGCGGGCAGGAGCCAGGGGCAGUGCUUACAGUGCUUGGUGUGUGGGUGACAGUGUGCUGGUUUGUCCCUCUCUAUGACCAGGGCAGAGGAGGAGACAAAAGAACAGUGCCCCUAGACAUGCUCUGGGUGCUACAGGAAUUCCCAGCAGCAGCAGAGCUGCAGAUUCCUGUCACCACUCCCCUGGCUGUGCCCAGUGCCAGCAGUUUCCCCCAGAGCAGGGUGAAAGCAGCAGGUGCUCCUUGGGGGUGCACUUGGCUGUCAGGAGCACCAACCCCAGGACUAAAGCAGGAACACACAGUUCUGCAUGCACAGUCACAGUGCAGCAGGAGCGCAGCAGGCAGAUGUGCAUCUCACCUCUGCUUUGACUGCCUAGUACUCUGUCCCCAUUAAACACUGGCCCUUUGCACACGUGAGCAAGGAAAGGGGCUUUUCUGCUCAGAAUUAAAAAGUUUCCUAAUUUCUUUACAGGCAAAAUGAAAGCACUGCAAGGUUGUGUCCUGAGAAGCACAUAAGUAUAGAUAUCUGUAUGUGUAUUUAUAAAAAAAUAAAACACAAUGUACUAUAAGCAGGAGCUGAGUAGCAAGCAAAGACUCCUGAGCCUGAAGACUUCAUUUUUUUUAGCAUCUCCUUCUACUUUCCCCUCAACUCCAUCAGGUACCACCAGUUCUCAGGCCUCUUUUCUAUUCCCACUUUACCAGCAACCUGAACAAACCCUUGCAGAGGAACGGUGGGAACAGAGCCUGAACACAUUUUAGGGAGAGGGCAGAAGUCACUGCUCUUCCAGAAUCUAGUCAUGGGCUUCCUGAUGUGGAAGUUGAUGGUUGCAUCAAGAAUUUAAAACUCACCAGUUUGAAGUUGCAGCCAAGGAAACAAGUGGAGGGCGUUUUCAUAUCAAGAACCAUUUCCCAAAGGAAAUCACAAUUCCAGCAGUGGUGUGAGAGGCACAGGAUGAGCAGAUUGAUUAGGGACAGGGUCGACUGAGGGAUAGAAAGGGAGCUGUAUACUGGAACCACUUAUGGUCUUUCCUUAGGCUCUGCACUUCCUACCCCUUUGAGGUGAAGAUGUCAGUCUGAAAGCACCUGCCUGCAGGAAGAACAGCAUCAAAGCCACUGACAGGGCAGGGAUUUGCAUGUCCCUGCAUCCUUUCUGUCUGCAAGGGGGAUGUUCUGGCAGGAAAAAGGAAAAGCUCUUCUCAGAGGUUAGACAGGGCUGUACUUUACUGGUUCCUGAGAGAAAGCCCAUAAUCUGCUUUUAAACAAGCAAGAUUUGGGCAGUGAUCUCAGAGCAUCUAUUCAUACUUACUUGAACACUCUAAAAAGUAAAGGAAAAAAAGGAUACUUGGUAAUUCACGACUACUGGGCUGGUAACUACCCAGAACACAAAGUUUCCAUUCAGGGAGCAAUCCAACACUCAGCUAGUCAUUGGCUGACAGAGUGAGAGGUCUUCAGAAAUUUCUCAAAAACCAAGUUUUCUAAGCAAAAGUUGACAAAGUGAAAACUUGGGCAUUCAAAAAAUGGUCAAAAAGAAAUAAAAUUUGAGUUCAGUUUUUUCAGCUUCCAAAAAUCAGAAUUACAGCAGAUUUUUUAAAAAAACCUUGCACUGCCAGAAGAUGUUCUCUCUAAAAACACCACAGCCCUUGUCUGAGCACAAGGACUGAGUGAGAGCCACCAGCUCCUGGCCACUGCUCAGCAGCAGCAGUUUGUCUCUUGUUUUGCACCUCUGGUCACCAGUGGAGGAGGAAGCAGAGGUAGCUGUGCUGCAAGGCUUCUCCUCUAACCUGCCCUGCCGAGGUCCCUGCAGGCAGGGAAAAGGGGCUGCACUGCCCAGCACUCAUCCCCUGCGCCGGC